AUGGGAGGAGGACGAGGACUUCUAGGCCUGGAGACCCUCGGGCCUGGGGGCGGGUGCUCUGGAGAGGGUCCGCUGUGCCAAUGGCCGCCGCCAGGGUCGCCACCGGUGCCCUCCCUCCUCGCCUCCCUCCCUCUCGAGCCGCCGCGAUGUCCCCUGCGCUCCUGUCCCCUCCCGCGUAGUGCUUGCCUUUGUUCCAGGAAUAGCGCUCCAGGCUCCUGCCGCCGCCCCUGGGCCUCACUUUGGAGCGAGCUGCCGCCGCCCUCUUCUUCCAUCCGGCCAGCCCCACCCAUGCAUAUUUGGACGCUGUCCUGCUCUCCAGCUGCAAGCUGGGCUCCUGUUACACACUGGAUUAGACCACCCACAGCCGCCGCUGCCAACCCUCCUCCACCCCACGAGACUGCCAGACGACUACAUCAUUCUGCCCACAGACCUGCGCUGCCACUGCCAUCGCCAUCCACCGCAUCCCAGUGAUCUGGACUCACCUCGGAGGUAUCUGAGCUGGCCACAGCCCCUGGACAGUGAUCCAGACCGCUGGCUGCACCCCAAGGGAUCUGUCACCUUCAGCGAGACCUAUUUCCUCCCCACUCCCAAAGACCUCUUGUGUUCCUGCCUAGGCCCAGGUGUGCCUGGCAGCCAAAUCGAGUCUCUAAUUUUCUCUUGUGGACCAGUUAGUUUUGACCAUAACCCAGUUUUCUGAGUUUGCAGCUGUCUCUCUGAUGUGUGCCUUUUGUUCAACACAGUAACCCCUGCAUUCUGCUCUGCUCUAAUACACUACCUGGAGAAAGUCUUUUCCUUAUUUUCAAUAAAUGUCAGACAUUAUUGAAAAGAAA
Non-coding RNA from Callithrix jacchus (white-tufted-ear marmoset), 830 nucleotides. The record is from RefSeq and is a predicted model, not a curated record. Lineage: Eukaryota; Metazoa; Chordata; Mammalia; Primates; Cebidae.